UCUGGUGUAGCAGCUCAUACCUGUAAACCCAGCACUUUGAGAGGGUGAAAUGGGAGGCUUCACUUGAGCCCAGGAGUUCUAGGCUAUAGUGUGCUAUUCCAAUUGGGUGUCUGUACUAAGCUCUGUAUCUUUGGUGACCUCUUGAGAGCAGGAGACCACCAGUUUGCCCUAUGAGGGAUGAACCAACUCACGUCAGAAAUGGAGGUCAAAACUCCCAUGUUAAUCAGUAGUGGGGUCACACUUGUAACUGGCCACUGCACUCCAUCCUGGGCAUCACAAGAGACAAGGGAGACCUUGUCUCUU
This 303-nucleotide signal recognition particle RNA is filed under the name Otolemur garnettii (small-eared galago). RNAcentral's name for it is "Metazoan signal recognition particle RNA". It matches the Rfam family "Metazoan signal recognition particle RNA". From Rfam's summary of the family: The signal recognition particle (SRP) is a universally conserved ribonucleoprotein. It is involved in the co-translational targeting of proteins to membranes. Lineage: Eukaryota; Metazoa; Chordata; Mammalia; Primates; Galagidae. The record is from Rfam by way of RNAcentral.